Molecule: ribosomal RNA, 380 nt
Filed under: uncultured eukaryote
Lineage: Eukaryota
Description: partial 18S ribosomal RNA
Rfam family: Eukaryotic small subunit ribosomal RNA
Source: RNAcentral
CAAUAGCGUAUAUUAAAGUUGUUGCAGUUAAAAAGCUCGUAGUUGGAUUUGUGGCGUACGGUGUGUUCCGGGCACUUGUUGUCUGAGUAACCUGCUGUUGCCAUCCUUGGGUGGAACCUGCGUGGCAUUAGGUUGUCGUGCAGGGGAUGCCCAUCAUUUACUGUGAAAAAAUUAGAGUGUUCAAAGCAGGCUUAUGCCGUUGAAUAUAUUAGCAUGGAAUAAUGAGAUAGGACUUUUUUGCUAUUUUGUUGGUUUGCGCAAGAAGGUAAUGAUUAAUAGGGACAGUUGGGGGUAUUCGUAUUCCAUUGUCAGAGGUGAAAUUCUUGGAUUUUUGGAAGACGAACUACUGCGAAAGCAUUUACCAAGGAUGUUUUCAUUAA